GCGCGACCCCGUGGGAACUCCCACAAGCCACUGGGCGCAGUUUUCAGAUGGGCUGGCUCAAGUUGCAUGCCGGGUUCUCCAGGAAGCGCCGUGCUUCUCCAGGUCUUUGCUUGUGACAACUGUUUUUUCCAGGACCACCGCGCCGGAAGUAGCACAUAGGCUUUUGGCUUAGGUCUCCCCAGAGGGAAGAAGCCUGAAGAAGAAUGGCCAGCUCCAGUUCUCAACACGUGGUCUGUGGGUCAGUGACAUUUAGGGAUGUGGCUGUUGACUUCUCUAAGGAGGAGUGGGCCUGCCUGGAUGCUACUCAGAAGGUCCUCUACAGGGACACAAUGUUGGAGACCUACCGCCACCUCGUCACAGUGGUGGGGAGUUGCCUUUCCAAGCCACAUCUGAUCACCUUACUAGAGCAGGAGAAAGAGCCCUGGAUGGCUGUGAAGGAAGAAACAGACAGGCCGAGCCCAGAAUUGGAAACAGAUUAUGAUGCUGGAAAUAUAUCUCCAGAAAAUCCUGUUAAUAAUAGAAGAUUUCCCAAACAGAGGGUAAAGCAAUUAGGUAGAACUUUUGACUUCAGGGGCUCCAUGUUUAGUAAUGGCCCCAACUAUAGUACAUUCCAUGGACUACAGGAUUGUCAAGGAGAUGCUGGUCAACAGAUGAUUAACAAGGAAGAAAUAACUAUUUAUACCAGCCAGACUCUUACUCACAAUGUAGAAAGAGCAUAUGAAUGUAAGGAGUGUGGGAAGUGCUUUGGUUGUAGGUCAACUCUCACUCAGCAUCAGAGUAUUCAUACUGGAGAGAAACCCUAUGACUGUAAGGAGUGUGGGAAGGCCUUCAGACUCCCCCAACAGCUUACAAGACAUCAGAAGUCUCACAGUGGUAAGAAAACUUCCAGUCAUGAGGAUAGAAAGGCUUUUCAACAUCCUAACCUACUCAAGUACCAUAAAACCAUUCAUACAAGUGCAAAAACAUUUGAAUGCAGGGAGUGUGGGAAGUCCUUCAACCGUGUCUCCAGCCUUGUUGAACAUAGGAUUAUUCAUGCAGAUGUGACACCAUAUGAAUGUAGUGAGUGUGGGAAAGCUUUUAAACGACAUAGAAGUUUUGUACGCCAUCAGAAAAUUCAUUCUGGUGAGAGACCUUUUCAGUGUAAGGACUGUGGGAAAGGCUUCAUUGUUCUGGCUCAUCUCACACGGCACCAGAGCAGUCAUAGUGAAGAGAAGCCAUUUGAAUGUGAAGAAUGUGGCAAGAAAUUCAGAACUUCCAGGCACCUUGUUAAGCACCAGCGUAUUCAUACUGGCGAGAAGCCCUUUGAAUGUAACAUAUGUGGGAGUGCUUUCCGGCUUCAAUUAUACCUUUCUGAGCAUCAAAAAACUCACAUGGAAGAGAAAUACUUGGAAUGCAAUGUAUGUGGGAAGGCUUUUCGGCUUCAGGUGUACCUUUCUGAGCAUCAGAAAACUCACACCGAAGAGAAUCCUUUCAAGUGUAAGCUCUGUGCGUCAGCCUUCCCAAAUAAGUACCAACUUAAUAAACAUCUCACAAUUCAUACUGAUGGGAAACCUUAUCAGUGCAAGGAAUGUGGGAAAUGCUUUCGUCAAAGGUCAAAAUUAGCUGAACAUGAGAGUAUUCACACUGGGAAGAAACCCUUUCAGUGUGAAGAAUGUGGGAAGUUCUUUAGACUUAACACACUUCUCAUUCAUCAUCAGAGAUCUCACAGUGGUGAGAGACCUUUUGAAUGUAAAGAAUGUGGAAAGGCUUUCCUUCUUCCCAGUCAACUUAACAGCCAUAAAAUUGUUCAUACAAGUAAGAGACCCUUUGAAUGCAAGGUAUGUGGGAAGUCCUUCAAGCGUGAAUCCAACCUCAUUCAACAUGGGGCUGUUCAUGCCGGUGUGAAAUCAUAUGAGUGCAGUGAGUGUGGGAAAGCUUUUAUUCACCGCUCAAGCCUGUUCCACCAUCGGAAAAUUCAUUCUGGUGAGAAACCUUUUAAGUGUCAGGAGUGUGGAAAGGCUUUCGUUGUUCUGGCAUACCUCAUUCAGCAUCAGAGCAUCCAUAAUGGAGAGAAAUCAUUUGAAUGUGAGCUGUGUGGGUCAGCCUUCAGAUGUAAAUCCCAACUCAAUAAACAUCAGAGAAUUCAUACUGAUGUGAAACUCUUUCAGUGUGUGGAAGAUUGAACAGAUAUUGUUCAUGGAACAGAGCUUGGAAUACAUCAGGGAAUCCAUACUGAAGGAUCCUGGUGUCCGCGCGUGUUCUUGCUGGCGAGACGAUAGCGCGCGACAUUUGGUGCCGAAACCCGGGACAAAUGCCUCACCAUCGCCGGCGCCGAAGAGAGCCUCCGCUCGUGGAGAGGGUCCAGAACUGCAGGUCGAGAGGUAAGCUCUGAGAGGCAUGUUUGGUCUUGAUACAGCAUGUCAGAAACAGAGCGAGGUGAAAGCUUUAAGAAGGAAAGGUGCACCUAAGAAAAAAGUCCCUUCCAAGGACUUUAGAUCCGAGGAAGCGAGAGAUAGGGGAAAGGACACCCCGGGAGAGAAACAGGGAAAGGAGGAGAAAGCCCCGAAAAGGAAAAGCCUUUAUCCGGUAAAGGAGUUAGAGGCUUUGGGGCUUGAUAGUUCAGAAACAGACGAGCUUAGCCCCUCUGAGGAAGAGGAUUUAGAAGAUGAGGCAGCUCGCUAUGAAGAAGAAAGAUAUGGGCCUAGGUGGAGAGCCACUGUGAAGAAACCGAAAGUUAUGGAUCCUUUGUGGGCAAGGCUGGUAAUUUUGUUUAUUUUUUCUUUGUGUGGGAAGCCGUUACAGCCAUUAGGACAGGUCAGAGGAUCCUUGCAGAGCAACAAGAAAGUAUGUCGGAGGGAGAAAAGGUCUCGAAAGAAAAAAAGAAAAGAAAAGGAGAUAAAAGGAACACAGUAUUUUGGGAGAAAAAUUUUGUCUUUGUGCUUGUAAAAGGUGUGAUUAGGCUCUGGAAACUUCACAGAGUCAUACUGAUCAGAUUUGAUCGAGGUAGACCGCCUGAAACAUUUACUCAGGAGAAUCAAACAAAAAGAUAUCUCAAUUCUCAACGCCCAUGCACAGCUUGAUGGAGUUAAUGUAAUUGGGUUGUGAGUAAAAAUACUCAGGACUGUGUUUCACUUCCAUACCAUUGGCGAAUGUCAGUCGUGCUGCUCAGAUAAUAUAUCUCAGUAUCUUACAGGUAUUGGGUUUCAACACGUUGAUGGACUAGUCCAGGAAUUGAGACAAUCCAUCGUCCAUAUCAACUCCACUCGAGUGGAUGGUCACCGUGGAAGUGGUGGGAAAGGGGAAAUCCUACCUCUCUGCUGACUCCUAUUGGAAUCUGGGUCCCUUUGCUGGGACACCAUCUAGUUUUUCCCCUUUGUCUAUUGUCUGUCCUUGGUGCACCAAGCUGUCCAUGUCUGUCAGUUUAUGUUUGUGGGUUUUGUUUCUCAUUGUUUAAAUGUUUUAUGUUUCAUGUUAAAAAAAAAUGGUAAAAACUUUAUCUGCCAGUCGUUCACACCUUGAUUUGGUUUUAACUCGUUUCAAAAAAGGAACAAAUGAAUAAAAAACAGUUUCAAUCAGUCCUUGGAGCCCUACAUCUGUAGCUAGAAGCCUAAGUCCGCUGGACAAGCUCCCCGGGGGCUGGCUAAAUGUUUAUACUAGCCUAUCCUAAAGGCACCAGGAGCUUCACAGCUUCUAUGGUAAUAAAACUGAUGGCUGUUUCUCUUAGAAAAUCUUUGACUGUGAUUAUUGGACUCAACCGGUGACAAGGUGCUUCUCUUAAAAUCACAGCUAGAAAAGUCAUAAUGGUGUUUGAUCUAAAUAUUGAAGAUAUGUGUAGCCACUUCAAUUUUGUUUCUGAUUGGUUCUAAAUGUAUAAUUAUUCUCUACAUGCCUUGGUUAUGGACUAUUGGCUUUUAAGUUAUUGGAUAUGGUUAAAAAGGUAUAAUAUUGGUAACAAAAAGUUGACAUAAAGCUGGUAAUUUGGAUAAAGUCAUUCUAGACAACAUGUGGCAUGAGCCAACCUAGGGAAACAGGUCUAAAUUGAGAUAAUAUUUUUAUGGAAUUCUUAUCCUAGAAACCAGGCUUCUAAAAGAAUUUAGGACAAUGUCUCUUUGUUGAGGUAUUGGAUACCGCACCAUGGUGUGUUGAUAUGUAGGAAUUGGCAGUAAAACUUGGUAGCAUGAAGGAUAGACUUGGUGUUUUGGAGACUGGAUUUUGGAGACUAGAUUGUUGGAGGUUGAGUUUUGCUUUCCAAAGUUGUGGUUUGCCCUGAAGUUAUCUGUAUUUUGAUGCUAAUUCCACUGCCCCAAGAACAGCUGCCUAGUCACUACUCGAGAGAACUCAGGUGACCUUGUGGUUGUGCUCUGGUGUUACAAGGAGAAAUUAAAGAUUGUGAUUAAGGAUUGCCAGUGUUAUAUUGACUAACUCAAACUUAUUUGUAAUUAAGAAAAAAUCAAACAGGUAGAGAUUGUUACAGGAUUUAUGAAGGAUUGAUGAGGUUUUGGAACUUGUGAGAGCAUUAUACAGCCAGUUUGUUUACUCCAACUGCCAUUUCAAGAUAGAUUUAGAGGAUUGAUUGUGAGUUUUCAUUUCGUGAGCUUGCUUAUAAUUUUAGAGAGCCCAUAAAGUGGUAUCAUUAAAAAUUUUACAAAAGAAUGGCUAACAGCCUUGUAUUAUGUAAUUUUGUUGCUUCUUCAAUGUAAGAAGUUAGAACUUUAAAUCUUUCAGUGUAUAUAGAAAUUUUUACUACAAAUCUUUGCUCUCAAAAUGAGCUUUAAUAUUUGGGGAGUAGCUGUUAGACUACUCCAGAAAAGAAUAUUUGAAACUAAUUUUAAGCUACUAAGGAUAUGUUAAUUGGCUAAGUACCUCACCUUACCAGAGGACUUAGGUCCUUGUUUGUUAUCCACAUUGGAGAUAAAGCUUCAGUUGUGUUAAUACAAAAUUGUAGGCUAGAGUCAUGGAAGUAUUUUAAAAAGAAACUUGGUGAAACAUAUCUUAUUCCAAACAACAGUUAAUUGGUUAUUACAAAAUACUGAUAUUUGGCCUAUUACAUAUACAAAUUUUUCAGGCAAAAUUGAUAAUUUUACUCUUUGCAUGCUUUUGUAUUUCCUGUAAACAAAAUUACAUGCUGUAGCCACUGUUUUUAAAUGUUAAAAAAAUCAAGCUUUCAAUUCAUAUACUGAUAGCCAAUGUGUGGCUUGUGGUUUUACAAUUGAUUAAAAAGUUUUCCUUUUUCUUUUUAGAUACUACUAGCCCUCAAAUUUUACAAUUACUUAAUGCUUUAUUAGAGGCAGGUAUUCUACUUGAAAUCAGUGAAUGAUGAUUUCAGUGUGAAUGUCUGACAACUCACUGUCCUUUCAGUGCUCUGGCUCAGACAACUAAACAAAACCAUAGACCCAGCUCUUUGAAAAUGGUAAUGGAGGGGGUUGGGGAUUUAGCUCAGUGGUAGAGCACUUGCCUAGCAAGCUCAAGGCCCUGGGUUCGGUCCCCAGCUCUGGAAAAAAGAAAGAAAAAAGAAAAUGGUAAUGGAGUUGAUAACACACCCUCACGAAAAGAGGAAGACUCCAUUUGCUUGCUUUAAAUUCUCAGCCUCGCCCUGCCAGCUCAGGGAUUUCUAGUACGACUAAAUUUAGACAAUAUUUACAGGAUUUGACAUUUCUAAUUAAUGCUUAUGUUUAGGUAAAUAAAGUUUGUGAGGUGCUAGAGAGAUGGCUUAGUGGUUAAGAACAUGAAAUACUGUUCCUUUAUAGGCCAUUUGGGAACUCAAACUAGAUUACCUGGACCCCUUAACGAGGGAGGACAAUGAUACUAGACAGUUUAUAUCUUAAUAAAUAAAAAGGGGGAGUUAUAUCCCUGUAUGCUAUGUAUGCUAUACAAUUAUUUAAUAAUACUCCUUUUAUUUCCAAUUUUAAAAUUUGGAUGCCAAGGAACUCUGAGUGUUUAUGGCACCCUACAACUAGGCAUACUUCUGCCUAGGUGAAAUAGAAAGAUCCAUAUAUUGGCAUGAUCCUGUCCAAAUAUUUUAUAUGGGGAAGAGGGAAUGUUUGUGUUUUUUCUACAGGAUGCUACAAGAGUAUGCCAGCUGCCAGAGGUGGUUGCUGAGACUUGCUGAUCCUGGUUGCAUGUAGAUUCAGCUCUUGUGGUUCAGGUCCCUAGAGUCAUUCCUCUGCCCUGAGAGGAAGAUAGAAGAUCCUCCCUCAUCUUUUGUCAUCACAGAGAUUUUGGCGUUGCUGCAGUCAGUGUUACCACUGAGUAUGUCCCGUCCCACUGUGGCCUGCACUCCAACCCUCUGUGCACUGCUGCUUGCUGGAGAAGAUUAGAGUCCAGCUGUUACCCCUGACCCCCUCAUUCCCCUGGUGACUUUUGCUGCCUUAACUGGUGUUGUCAUCUUGCAGUCUGUAGCUUCACAGGAAUGCCAUCUGCGUGAAGCUGCUGUGGACUGGGGAACUCUGCCCUGGUUAUGCAGAUCUCAGACAUGGUUCCAUUGCCUGCUGAUUGUUCCAGAGAAGAAUGGCUGAUCCUGAACUGUCCUGGGAAAGACCUUGUUACUUUCGCUGCUAUUGUAGCAUCCAUUUACUGCUAUAGCCAUUGUGUCUACAGUGUUUGGAGUUACCCUCCCCCAUUCUAUUGUUAGACAAACACAGUGGGUGAACUUUCUGGAGUAGUUGCUAACAAUUGGGAGUUCAAAUUUUUAUUAUAGGAGCGGCUUGACUACGGCCCUUGGUGGUAACAGCUGAGGUGAACCAAAUGAGGUGCCCACUACUUAUCGGGAGUGGCUCUGUUUGGUGCAGCCCUAUGCUGUGGAUUAGUGUUCAUGCUAUGGUUGGUUUGCAAACUCAGAUCUCAACAGAAACGUGACAAGGCCGUUAUCACUCAAGCACUUGUGGCCAUUGUACAAGGGGCCUCCCCUAAAAUUUGGUUAUCUAUCCUCAAAAAUUAGUCGGUAUCUGAGUUCUCUGCUCUUGCACCCCAUGGAUCUGUGGAUCCAUUGCACUGGGAUGAGAGAGACUCAAUGAUUCUUUGAUCAGCCCUUCCACAUCGCUGAGGUUUCCUCAUUGCAUGCGAUAGGGUGAUCAUGAUUUCCCCACUAACUCAUUUUCUGGCUGGCCUCUUUUUAAGAGUUCGCCCUAGGUCGUUAACAGUUACUGUCACACAGCACUGUGGUAUCCAGAGACAGGCAACUUUCCUCAUGCACAGUACAUGGGGCCUGGUGGCGAUAGGGUUACCCUUCGACGGAUAAGACUGUGACAUAGAGGAAUGACCUAAGACAGGAGCCACAGCAGAUGGACGUAACUGCAGAGACCUAGACCAGCCUAGACAAUAAUUUACUGUUAUUAAUUAAUAAAACAAUAAGGGGGAGUUGUAGAGGGCCGCAAUAACAUUCGCCACCACAAGAUGGCGCUGGCUUCCACUGCGCCCCACGUGGAAAGUCGGGAUAGCUUUCGCCAUUACAAGAUGGUGCUGGCCUCUGCCGCGCCAGCCGACUUCCUUUCAGGAAGUUAACUGUGUGCGCAUGUGCAAGAGUGCCUUCAUGCCAGGUCUUUGCCCACCCCAGGGCGUGCCUAAUGAGAUCAUGGGUAAGCGACCAAUCAGGCGUGGACACGCCACGUUAGGGUGUAUAUAAGCAGCGCCAGUCUGGGGCUCGCUCUCUCCUCUUCAACAUGUAAUAAUCGCUUUGCUGAAGAAGGAUCCUGGUGUCCGCGCGUGUUCUUGCUGGCGAAACGAUAGUGCGCGACAGUCUGUCUGCCUGUCUAUCUGUAUACACACUGUGAACUCUAUAUUAUCUGUGUCAUUGUGCUUGUCACUCUCUGCUCCUAUUUUCUCCCAAGGCUACGGGGUGGGGGGUUGAAGCAGAGGGCCAAGAUUCAGAAAGGAGAGUGUGGAGUCUGAAGGGAAGCUUGCCCUGAGGUUCAGGGUUGAGCAUGGGAGGAGCAUUUGAGGAUGGAAGUGCCUCUAGGGUUGAUGAAGAGGGCAGCUACUUGUUGAGCUUCCUGACUUUCUCAGAGCCCCCAUGUGAGUGUUGAGGGAAGUAAGUAAAGUGCUCACUGACGAUGCUCUCGGAUACAGUCUGGGAUCUCAGGCUUUCUCAGGCUCCCCCACCCUCGGCCAUUGCUGCACAUCUAAAUUCAAGAAUGAGUUUGCACUUUCUCUCUGCUUGAGAAUUGAGGUUUUAGUUUUAGAAUAUGGAAUUGUCAGUAACUCAAGGAGGAACCUGCAAAUUGAUAACCUCCACCACUGUCCCUUACAUUGUCCCUGCCCUUUCCACUUAGAAUUCACAUUAUCCUUUCAGCGAUCCGGGACAUCUUCUCUCUACAAUCUCUUCCUUUUCCCAAGAUGUUGUAAAUAGUAAUCCCCUGAGGUUAGCUUUAGGGCUUUCAAACUCCAAUUUGCUAAAUCGAUUCUUAUUUUGAUAGUGUCACACGUGAAAUGGCCUUUGAUUUUACAGAUUUUCUUUCAAAGCAAGGGAAGAAUGUAGGCGGUAGAUGAUCUGUUGGGGGGCGGUUGGGAGUGGGAAAGUCAUAGCACUGAAUUUGACAUUUAAUCUCUCUCUCUCUCUCUCUCUGUGUGUGUGUGUGUGUGUGUGUGUGUGUGUGUGUGUGUGUGUGUGUGUGUAGUGAGUAAUAUUGGCCAGAUCCAGGUGAGCAAUGUGGUUGGAUGUGGACAUGUGGGUCUGUGGUAUCCUGGUUGGAGUCUUGGUUCUGUCCCCUCUGGCUCUCUAGUUCUGUCAUGAACCUUAGAAUGCCUGUGGUGAAGCCUGUGAGUGCAGUGACACCAUACACUAAGGGCCUGGUGAGCUUUAGUUGUUGCUCUGUGAGGCCAUUUUGGGUUCAUUCUCCUCAGUGUACUUCGGGACAAGGGAGCAUGGGAAAUAAAGUGAUUACUGGCUGGAUAUUUAAGAAAGGAACUCAAAAAGAAAAGCUAGGCUUUGUGGUGUACAUUUUAAUCUCAGCACUUGUGAGGUAGAAGCAGGAGGAUCACUAUGAGUUCAAGGUCAGCUUGGUUCACAUAACAAGGUCCAGGCUAGUGGGGCUGCACAGUGAAGCCUUGUCUGAAGAACAAUAAGGAAAAGAAAGGAAACGUUAAUGCAAGGCGAAUUUUCUUACUUUCCAGAUAAAAUUCUCCAUAUUGUGUAAAGCAUGGUAUUUUGAAGUUUUUGUAUACUUUGGGAUGAUAAGUUUAGAAAAAAAAAAACAAACCACUUAUGGGUAUUUUCUCUGCAUGUCUGAUACUUGAGGAAGCAAAAGAGGGUAGCGAAUCCCCUGAAAGUGGAUUUAGUGAUGGUUGUGAGCCGCCAUGUGGAAGCUGGGAAUUAAAACCCAUCUGCUGCAAGAACAAAAAGUGAACUCUGACCCCUGUGCCAGCUCCACAGCCAUCUGAUGACGGACACUCCUAACAGACUUGAGGAGGCCUCCCACUGUGACUUUAACAUCCAUGGUUGCCCAUGUUUUAAUUAGCAUGUUUCCUGAUCAGCGAAUUGUAUAUGUGUCUUAUAAAGUGACUGUGCAGGAAUUCAGAUGUCAACUCCUUGUCUAGUUUAUAGUUGGCAAUAAUUCUCUCCCACUCUCUAGAUUAUCUCUCUGUUGAUUGUUUCCUUUGCUGUGUAAAGCUUUUUAGUUUGAUAUGAAUCCCAAUUGUGCAUUUUGCUUUUGUUACUUGUGUUUUUGGAGUAAUAACCCAAACCUUCCAGCUUCUCGAAGACGUCCUUCAUAUGUUUUCUAGUAGUGUCAGCUUCAGUUUGUAGAUUAUAGUCUGUUUUGAGAGGACUUACACCCGUGAAGGUCCAGUGUCACUGUACUCAGUGCUGAAGUUGAGUUCAACCAGCGCCACUGACUACAGCGCCACAGAGGCCAGGCUGGCCUGAGACUUGGAGCAAACCUCCUGCCUCUACCUCCCCAGGGCUGGAAUAUAGACCUAUGCUGUCACUUCCAGCAGAACCGCCUGUACUUUAACCUCUGGCCUUCAGUCACCAACUUUAUGAAGCAUAAACAGUUAUAAAUGUCAUGAGCUUAUACUGACCUGUCACAGAAAUGAAAAGAUGGGGGCUGUGGUGAUGGCUGAGUGGGUGCAGUGCAUGCAAGCAUGCAGCUGCGCAGUGCCAGAUGCAGCAGUGCACGUCUGUAGUCCCAGCCCUCCUAUGACAAGACGGGAGGGGAUGAGAGAAUCUCUGGCAGGCUGGCUAGCCCGGUGUAUGCAGAGGCAGGAGGGAAGGGAGGGUAAAGAUAGAAGGAAAAUUUGUUUGUAAAUUUUCUGGGCAUAUAAAAAUAUAAAAUUUCAUAAGAUUAUCAGAUGUGUACUUCAGAGGUCCCCUUGCAGCACCUAAGGCAUUGCUGGCACACCAGCUCCAAAUCAGCCAUUGCCAGAACAGGGAACUUCAAUAGUGAGCUGUGUCUGUGGCUCACAGCUCCCAAGUAGCUCAAUUUUAGCUUUGCAGCUUUUAACUUGAUCAUUUUUUCUACUCAAAUCUCUCAGAUUGCUUUCAUCCCUGCACAGUGUAUAAUCCAAUGUGUCGAAGUCUUCUUUUGUAAUCUGCCAUGCAACGUGAUGCAUGUGGAUGCCAUGUUUUCUCAUGCAGUUCUGCCCCCCAUAGUCGGGGGGGGGUCUCCACUUCAUAGGUGGAUGUAGCCACACUGUCUAUCCUCAUUAUCUGAAACCUUUCCAUCAGUUACCAAUUUCCUGAACACUGCUUCUACAAUGGGUGACUAGCAAAUGUUACCAAGACAUGAACAGCGCUGACUUGGACCCAACCUCUGCCAUGUUUUGGUGCAGACCCUGGCGCUCAGAAACCGCUCAGUAUCUGUUCUUAUGUCCUCUUUUCACCUAUAAUUUUCUUCAUUUGGAUCUUCUCUCUCCACUUUUUAGGUAAUUUGGCUAAGGGUUUGUUAGUCUUACUGAUUUUCUCAAAGAACCAACUCAAUCAACUUUCAUUGAUUCUUUGUAUUAUUUCAAUAUUGUUGUUACUGCUAUUGUUUCUGUUUUACAGAAGUUAGCCCUGACUUUAAUUAUUUCCUGCCUUCUACUCCCUUUGGGUGUAAUCUCAUCUUUCUAUUCUAGAGCUUUUGGUGUGGGGUCAAGUUGCUAGAGUGAGACCUCUCUAAUUUUUUGAAUGUAGGUACAUAGCAUUAUGAACUUCUCUCUUAGAAUGCCUCCAUCAUACCCUCUAAGUGUGGGUGUAUGGUGUCUUCACUUUCAUUCAAUUCUAGGAAAUCCUUAAUUUCUUUUAUAAUUUCUGUCUUGACCCAGUUUCCAUUCAGCUUGACCCAGCUUUGUUCAGUUUCCAUGAGUUUGUAAGCUUCCUGAGGUUUCUGUUGUUAUUGAUAUCCAGCUUUAACCCAUGGUGGUUGCAUAUUUACCAGGUAUUAUUUUAUUUCUUUAUAUCUUUUGAUACUUACUUUGUGUCCAAGCAUAUGGUCAAUGGAGAAAGUUCAAUGAGGUACUGAAAAGAAGGUAUAGUCUUUGAUGUUUGGAUGAAAUGUUUUGUAGUUAUCCGUUGGAUCCAUUUGGUUUCUAACAUCAAGUUAGCUCCUGCAUUUCUCUAUUUAGCUUUUGUCUGGAUGACCUGCCAUUGGUGAGAGCUGGAUAUGGCAGUCUCCCAUUAUUAGUGUCUGAGUCUCGAUAUGCGAUUUAAACUAUAGUAUUGUUUCUUUUAUGAACUUGGGUGCCCUGUGUUUUAUGCAUAGAAGUUGGUGGAUUUUUUUUUCUUUGAUGAGCAUGUAGAAUCCCCCCUAUCUCUUCUAUUUAGUUUUGGUUUGAAGUCUAUUUUAUCAGAUUUUUUUAUUUUAAAAUCUGUAUAAUACACUUUUUUCCUUCAUUUUUUAUUGGAUGUUUUCUUUAUCUACAUUUCAAAUUUUAUCCCCCUUUCCAGCUCCUCUCCUCUACCAACUCCCCUCCCCACCCCUGCUUCUAUGAAAAUGCUCAGUCACCCACCCACUCCCUCCCACCUUCCUGCCCUGGAAUUCCCCUACACUGGGGCAUCAAGCCUUCAGAGGACCAAGGGCCUCUCCCCCCACUGAUGCCCAACAAGGCCAUCCUCUGCUGAAGCAAUGGGUCACUCCAUGUAUACUUUUUGGUGAUGGUUUAGUCCCUGGGAUCUCUGGUAUGUCUGAUUGGUUGAUAUUGUUGUUCUUCCUAUAGUGUUGCAAACCCGCUCAGCUACCUUAGUCCUUUCUCUAACUCCUCCAUUGUGGACCCUGUUCUCAGUCCAGUGGUUGGCUUCAAGCAUAGCCCCUGUAUUUGUCACGCACUGACAGAGCCUCCUGUUAGCUUGCCCUUUUUGUCAUCCCCAGUAGUGUCUGGGUUUGAUGACUGCAUGUGGGAUGGAUUCCCCAAGUGUGGCAGUCUCUGGAUGACCUUUCCUAUAGUCUCUGCUCCACACUUUGUCUCCAUAUUCCCUCAUGUGAGUAUUUUCUUCCUCCUUCUAAGAAGGACUGAAACAUCCAGACUUUGGACUUUCUUCUUCUUGAGCUUCCAUGUGGUCUGUGAAUUGAGUCUUGGGUAUUCCGAGCUUUUGGGCUAAUAUCCACUUAUUAGUGAGUGCAUAUCAUGUGUGUUCUUUUGUGAUUGGGUUACCUCACUCAGGAUGAUAUUUUCUAGUUUCAUCCAUUUGCCUAAGAAUUUCACAAGUCAUUGCUUUCAAUAGCUGAGUAGUACUCCAUUGUGUAGAUGUACCACAUUUUCUGUAUCUGUUCCUUAGUUGAAGGGCAUCUAGGUUCUUUCCAGCUUCUGGCUAUUAUAAAUAAGGCUGCGACGAACAUAGUGGAGCAUGUGUCCUUGUUAUAUGUCAGAGAAUCUUUUGGGUAUAUGCCCAGGAGUGAUAUAGCUGGGUCCUCGGGUAGUACUAUGUCCAAUUUUCUGAGGAACUGCCAGACUGAUUUUCAGAGUGGUCUUAAAAUGACUACUUCAGCUUGUUUCUUGGGACUGUUUGCCUGGAAAACCCUUUUCCAGCCUUUUACUCUGAGGUAAUGUCUAUCUUUGUUGCUAAGGUGUGUUUCUUAGAUACAGCAGAAAGAUGGAUCAUGUCUGGGUCUUUUUAUUGGGGUAUUGAGGAUAUUAAUAUUGAAAGAUAUCAAUGAACAUUGUUUUGCUUCUUUUUCUUUUGUUGUGGUGGUAAUUUAUGUUUCUCUUCUUUGAGUUGCUGCCCUUACUUUAUUUAUUCCUUGUGUCUUCUUAGGUAUAAUUAACCUCUUUAGGUUAGUGUUUUCCUCCUAGUGUCUCCUAGUUGAUUUCUGCGCUCACCCCUGGAAAUUUUUGUUGACAAUCUAUACAGCUUGACUUGCAUCCAACUCUUGAUCCUCCUGAAUCAGCUUUACACUUACUUAGGAUUUCAGCAUGCAUUUCCACUCCCAACUCUAAAACAUAUUUUUUAUGGUGAAAAAAAAGUGUGUAUUUAAAAUUAGCUAUCUGGACUCACUUUAGAUUAUCCCAAUCUUGUUGGCAACAUCUAGAUCAUCAUAAUCAGGGGCCAAGCAAACAUAUGCCUUCUUCUCUCCAUCAGGUCUUAUCAGGGUAUUGACUUUGGCCACAUCAAUGUCAUAGUUUCUUCAUUGCCUGUUUGAUCUGGUGCUUGUUGGCCUUGACAACCACAACAAACACAAGCCUGUUGUUGCCUUCUAUUUUCUUCAUGGCUGACUCAGUGGUUGGUGGGAAUUUGACGAUAGCAUAGUGGUAAAGCUUGUUUCUCCUAGGUGCACUCUUUUGAGGAUAUUUUGGCUGCUUCCAGAGCCACAGGGUCUUGGGCUGAUGGAAAGUGGUUGAUAUUUGGAUCUUCUUUUUGUGGCUGUGGACACCUUUCUGCACUGCCUUCCUAGCUUUCAAGGCCUUCGCUUUGGCUUUGGGGGGGGGGGCAGGAGCUUCCUUCUUCGAUUUCAAUGCCAUCUUGGUGAAAAGGCUCUAAAACAUAUUCUUCAUGGUACAGUCUCAAAUAUCUAUUUAUACAGAAAAGCAGAUCAACCUUGUAAAUUGUUGACAAUUUUCAAUCUAGGUAAGGAUACAGAUGUGUAUAGUUGACAAUUCCAAGUUUUUCAUAUGGAUAAAAAAAUUUCACCGGGGUUGGGGAUUUAGCUCAGUGGUAGAGCGCUUGCCUAGCAAGCCCAAGGCCCUGGGUUCGGUCCCCAGCUCCAAAAAAAAAUUUCACACAUGUAUUUUUAUAAGUGGUUUCAAUCGGCUAUUUUUGUUAAUAUGUUAUAGGGAUCCCACCAUAGAAAACCAUUCAAACACAGUUUACUUCAAAAUUAAAGUCUUUAUUCCAGUCAGCUCUGAGUACAUUCAUGUAUUUGGAACCCAAGUAUAGCCCCAGCAUUUAGAGGAAAACCCAUAUCCUAUUAUCUUGUUCGGGAGCUACAGGGGGAGCUUUUGGACAAGCAGGUAGUUUAAUAGUACCCAAAAUAAGCAGAUAGCUGGAGGGAGAGGUUUAAACACACAGGGCACUUAACAGAAGCCAGGCUAAAUUAGCAGAGGUAAUUUGAACUCCAGUUUCUAAGUAGAGUAGGACAAUUUUCCACAAGAUUCUCCACAAGGAAAUUCUAGUCAAAUUCUAGUCAAACCUGAAAUAACCUUAGCAAGAAUAAGAGAUGGAGGAGCCUGUGGACUUCCUUGUCUUAUCAAAAAAUGUAUACUUACAUGUGGGCAGAAGGCAUGAAAUAUAGGGUUUUACAUUUUGAGAUUUUUAUGGGUUUCAUCAAUAGAAAGUACUUAUUCAUAAAUGACUGUGUUUUUUAAAAUGUCCACACAAAUACGUAAGGAAUGGGGACAAUUCAAUCCUUUCAUGUUCAUGCAUCGGAUGUGUCCAGAAUGAAAAUAUUUAAAAUGUAAUAGUGAGUAAAGCAUGAGACUUUCCUAAACUGUCUAAAGUGCAAUUAAGUUUUCAUGUCAGUUAUAUUAAUGCUCAUAAAAGGAGAAAAUCUUAAAAGCUCUUUUAAAGACCAUGAGAACUAACCAAAUACUCUGAAGGAUUUUAUUAUCUAUUAUAACCCCAUUGCUACAACUUAGGCUGGUACUAUGCUGCCAUUAACAAAUUAUGCAAGAAGAAAGUAAACAUCCAGUGUGAUAUCAUAGGACCCAUGGAAUAUUAAUGGUGACAAGGAAAACAUCUCAGUUGCAAUAACUGUUUUCCCUAAAUUGAUUAUCCUGGGUGACUAUUGAUUGAUGAAUAAAAUUUAUACAAUAAGAGGAAAGUAAAUCAAGAUCAUGGUCACUAUCUUGAAUUUCUGACAUGAAAAUACAAUCUCACCAAAUAUCUUCUCUGAACAACCCACUUCCCACCUCAUUCUAAAGAGUUUCUUGGCAGCAACAGUAUAUGAAUAUACUAAUUUCACCAUAUCCAGGGCAGAUUAAAGUACCCACAUUAUUUUAAGUCAUAGUAUUCCCAAUAUGAGCACCCUGAUAUUCAGUAAAAUUUUCAUACAAUGGCUUAUCCACCUUCCUUACAUGCAUCGGACUCCUGGCUAUUACAGAUUUCCUUGUGUUGUGUAAACUCAUCAUUUACAAUAAAAGCUUUUCCUGAUUCUUCUCACUCA
This is a non-coding RNA of Rattus norvegicus (Norway rat), 15488 nucleotides long. The record is from RefSeq and is a predicted model, not a curated record. NCBI's taxonomy places the organism in Eukaryota, Metazoa, Chordata, Mammalia, Rodentia, Muridae.